RNAcentral lists this unclassified non-coding RNA (746 nucleotides) under Hevea brasiliensis (rubber tree). The record is from RNAcentral. Lineage: Eukaryota; Viridiplantae; Streptophyta; Magnoliopsida; Malpighiales; Euphorbiaceae.
AAAGCCAAUCCUUGCUGUAAACAGAAUUUACUUCAUUCCCAGGCAGCGUAUUAAGGGAUCUUUAAUUAAAGCACAGUAGAUAAAACCCAUUUGGUCCAAGGAUUUAUGUUCAUUUUUGUUCAAUGGUAAUCAAAUCAUCAAAUUUGUCAACAAUAACCAUGUUAUCAUAUAUACAACUGGGCACAUAAAGGCAGAAUACACAUAACACGUAUUGUUCAUUUGUCCAUCACUUGAUAAACAGUAAUUUUCAUGACAAAUUGAAAUGUUGAGCUACACAUCAAAGAUAACCACCCCUUGGUCAAACACAAAUAAAAAUAGUUCAAAUGACAGACUAAACAAAUUCUACCAAAAACAGCCCCCCUUUACACUUAGUUAAAAAAUUUCCACCGAGAAGAGUUCAACAAACAGGUCCAAGUCCAUGAUUGGACAACUCCACUUGUUGGAAUUAAAAAAAUGGAUAUAUAUGAGUCAGUAGUUGGAAAUCUUCCUUCUCGCAAUCUUCAUAUUCGCAUAGAAAUUCAGGAACUAUGGUUUGGUUCUAGACCUUAGUUGAACUGAGGAUAAAUGGUAUCCAUACUAGCAUCAUAGAAACAUUACUGGAUUCCUAUAAUUAGAUUCAGUAUCAUAUGAGCAGGCUUGUCAAAAGCCUUGUACAGUUUCUUUCUUUUUUCUUGCCAUGUCUCCCUUUUAAGCCUCUAAACUAGAUUUAUAACACACUAAAAAUUAUUUGUCUUGAGUCAGUCAAU